Molecule: ribosomal RNA, 502 nt
Filed under: uncultured bacterium
Lineage: Bacteria
Description: partial 16S ribosomal RNA
Rfam family: Bacterial small subunit ribosomal RNA
Source: RNAcentral
AUUGAACGCUGGCGGCGUGCUUAACACAUGCAAGUCGAUCGGUAACAGGUGUAGCAAUACAUGCUGACGAGAGGCGGACGGGUGAGGAAUAUUUGGGAAUCUGCCCAUCAGCGGGGGACAACCCGGGGAAACCCGGGCUAAUACCGCAUACGCUCUACGGAGGAAAGCCGGGGACCGCAAGGCCUGGCACUGAUGGAUGGGCCCAAAUGGGAUUGGCUAGUUGGUGGGGUAACGGACCACCAAGGCGACGAUCCGUAGCUGGUCUGAGAGGACGAUCAGCCACACCGGAACUGAGACACGGUCCGGACUCCUACGGGAGGCAGCAGUGGGGAAUAUUGGACAAUGGGGGAAACCCUGAUCCGGCGACGCCGCGUGGGUGAAGAAGGCCUGCGGGUUGUAAAGCCCUUUCGGUAGGGACGAAAGCUCUUGCUCUAAUAAUGCAAGAGGUUGACUUAACCUACAUAAGAAGCACCGGCUAACUCUGUGCCAGCCGCCGCCGUAA